This 254-nucleotide ribosomal RNA is filed under the name uncultured bacterium. RNAcentral's name for it is "partial 16S ribosomal RNA". It matches the Rfam family "Bacterial small subunit ribosomal RNA", at positions 1248 to 1500 of the family's 1533-position model. The record is from RNAcentral.
AGCGAACCUGCAAAGGCAAGCGAAUCUCAAAAAGACCGGUCUCAGUUCGGAUUGUGGGCUGCAACCCGCCCACAUGAAGUCGGAGUUGCUAGUAAUCGCGAAUCAGCAUGUCGCGGUGAAUGCGUUCCCGGGCCUUGUACACACCGCCCGUCACACCACGGAAGUUGGGGGCGCCCGAAGCCGAUGACCUAACCGCAAGGAGGGAGUCGUCGAAGGUGAAACCAAUGACUGGGGUGAAGUCGUAACAAGGUACC